UUAAGUUCAGCGGGUAUUCCUACCUGAUCCGAGGUCAACCAUGUGCCGCGCGGGGGCGGGCUUGUGGGGGGUUUUGACGGCUAGAAGAGUCCCCAGGGGCUCCCGAUGCGAGGCGUUAGUUACUACGCAAGGGAAGGGCCGCCGUGGGUCCGCCGCUGGUUUCAGGGACACGCCAGGCGUGGAACCCCAACACCGGGCCG
RNAcentral lists this unclassified non-coding RNA (200 nucleotides) under Phialophora sp. RNAcentral describes it as "partial internal transcribed spacer 2". The record is from RNAcentral. Lineage: Eukaryota; Fungi; Ascomycota; Eurotiomycetes; Chaetothyriales; Herpotrichiellaceae.